RNAcentral lists this ribosomal RNA (258 nucleotides) under uncultured bacterium. RNAcentral describes it as "partial 16S ribosomal RNA". It matches the Rfam family "Bacterial small subunit ribosomal RNA", at positions 15 to 266 of the family's 1533-position model. The record is from RNAcentral.
GAUCAUGGCUCAGGACUAACGCUGGCGGCGUGCCUAACACAUGCAAGUCGAACGAGGGUUUGGAAAGCUUGCUUUCCGAAACCUAGUGGCGGACGGGUGAGUAACGCGCGAGUAACCUGCCUUUCAGAGGGGAAUAACGUUCUGAAAAGAACGCUAAUACCGCAUAACGUACAGUUACCGCAUGGUAGCAGUACCAAAGGAGCAAUCCGCUGAAAGAUGGACUCGCGUCCGAUUAGCUAGUUGGUGGGGUAAAGGCCU